RNAcentral lists this long non-coding RNA (2449 nucleotides) under Capsicum annuum. RNAcentral describes it as "long non-coding RNA (CANN_LNC007854)". The record is from RNAcentral. Lineage: Eukaryota; Viridiplantae; Streptophyta; Magnoliopsida; Solanales; Solanaceae.
GCUAAUUUUAAGCAAAAAUAGAGAAAUAAAUUAAAAAUCGUGAGUUAGCUAGCACAUAAUUAUAAAUCAAAGCAACAAAUAGAGAAAAUGAAAUAAUAUCACAAUUUAACGAGGUUUGGUUAAAUUCACAAGAUAACAUAAGGAUUUAAUGAGAUUUAAGUAAAUAUAGUCUUCGAGUAAAAGUAAAGAGAAUUCUUACAGUACGAAUGAAAAAUAUUUGCACACACUAUUACAACAGCAACAACAGGCCUAGUGUAUUCCCACAAAGUGAGGUCUGGGGAGGGGAAGAUGUAUGCAGUCCAUACCACUACCUUCGAAGAAGUAGAGAGGUUGUUUCCGAUAAACCCCCGACUCAGAAUCUCAAAUAAUACACCAAGAUCGUAUUGGAACAUGUAACAGGAAAGGUUGGCAUGCAGACAUAAGAAAUAAUAGAAAUAAAUAUUAGUGAAGUACGAAAUAAGAGAAAUACGAGCAAUACGAAAUAAGAAAUAAGAACUAGGACACCCCACUUACCCACCCCACCCGAACUCACUUGGCUAAAGGCUCCUACUCAAGAACACCGGCCUGGGAUUACUGCCCGGAUAUGCAAUCGCUCUCCUAACACCUAGCCACAAUCCAUACACUCGCCCUAACCUUCUACCCGAAUCCGCGACCUCCACACCUUACCGUCUAGGGUCAUGUCCUCAGUGAGCUGCAGCUGCUCCAUGUCUUGUCUAAUCACCUCCCUCCAAUAUUUCUUUGGCCUACCUCUACUCCUCCUAAAGCCAUCUAAGGCCAGCCUCUCACACCUCCAAAUUGGGGUAUCCGUGCCCCUCCUCAUCACAUGUCCAAAUCAUCUAAUUUGCACACACUAUUAAAGAACGGAAAAUUAAUUGAUAAAACUAUCGACGAGCCUAAUUUUGACAGAUUUUCAAAUCGGAAGUCCAUGGACAGAUGCAUAGUUUAUAUAUAUAUAUAUAUAUAUAUAUAUAUAUAUAUAUAAUUUUAGAAUGGUUAGAGCCUCAGUUGAUUUGGACCUUCUUCAGAUUUCUUUAAUUCAUGCGUAUAUAUAUACACACGAUGGCGGUGUUCGGAUAAAUUUGUACAUAUUAUUAUGUAAUUGGGUGUUUACUACUCCCUAUCAGUACAAGUAAUGGAUAAUUUUGUUAAUCAAAACUUGGACAGAUGAGAAAAAAUCACUAAGUAAUUUUUAUUCCAUCUGAGAUUUAAACCAGCAGGCAAAUGAUACAAUUUUGAAUUUACGAGUUCUAAAUUUUUAAAAAGAUAGUUUAUUAGAUUCAUGAUAAAUUAUUUAUGCAUAUUAAAGAAUUUUGAAGAUAAUAUUGAUUUAAAGCUAUUGUAUUACGUCGAAUGAAAUUAUAAUUUUAUCCUAUUUAAACCUACGACCAUACAGUUCAUUUACUUUAUUAACCACUAGACAAGUGACCUAUUGGAUGCUUAUAUAGUUAUAUUUUACCAUGUGAUAGAAUAAAAUUCUUUUAAAUUAGACCUUACAAAAAUAUAGACACCAAAUCUAUUAGGAUAAGUUAUCAUGUUAUAUUGAUAUUCUGGCCUUUUAUCCUCAAGGUAUCAUUCUUAAUUAAUCUUUUUUUAUUAUUUUUUUUCUUGAGUUCCUCGUGAAAAACUUUUAAAUAAUAGUUUGAAUCGUGAAGUCGGUUAUUAAUAUUUAUUAAGAUAAAAGGUCUAUAUCAUUCUCUUUCGAACUAUGAUCUUUCAGUAAAUCUUAUAUAAAUAAAAAAAAUUUAAUGCAUCAAACGGUCUAUUUUUUAAAAAAAUAAAAUAAAAUUAAACUACAAUCAAAGGACCAAUCCAAUAAAGAUUAUGACUAAAUUAGGUCUUCCUUAAUUAAUAUGCAAGCAAAAAAUAAUUCUUUUUGAAUUGAAAAAGGAACCAAAGAACAAUUAAACACAAAACAUUAUGAAUAUCUGAAAUUAACAAAGAAGAGUAACAAUAAAUUUGCUAGAGAAAAGAUGCAAGUGAAAAAUCAACUUAAUUACCUCCUCCAUCUCAAAUAAUCUAUCGUGAUUAAUAAAAAUAAUUAUCUCAAAUUAAUUACUUUUUCCCAGUUUUACAUUUGAAGAUUAUAAUCAACUCAAUUAUAGGUGAUGUUAUGAUUGUUCUAAUAUCAAUGAAGUGUAAAAUAGUUUUUAAAAAACUCUUCCUAAUUAUAAGGGGGAUGAACAAUAAAAUCAUCAUGACAAAUAAUUUGAAACCUAAUAAUUAACAAAUAAAGUUCACUUUCAAAUCUUAUUCCCCCCCCCCCCACUCCCCCGCCAAAAAAAAGUAAUUACUAUCAUUUGAGAUCUACUCACAAUGAUUAAAUAAACCCUAAUAAAUCAUUGCACAAAAGAGUGGUUUUAUAAUAACCUUAUACAAUUACAAAAAAACAACCAUACUAACUUUCAUAUAUACAUAUAUAAAUUUUUUAAUUUUUUUUUUUUUUUUAAAA